RNAcentral lists this microRNA precursor (80 nucleotides) under Rhinopithecus roxellana (golden snub-nosed monkey). RNAcentral describes it as "miRNA (ENSRROG00000005578.1)". Lineage: Eukaryota; Metazoa; Chordata; Mammalia; Primates; Cercopithecidae. The record is from RNAcentral.
UUAGUUUGAUGCAAAAGUAAUAGUGGUUUUUGCCAUUGAAAGUAAUGGCAAAAAACGCUAUUACUUUUGCACCAAUCUAA